AGUGAACGCUGGCGGUAGGCCUAACACAUGCAAGUCGAACGGCAGCACAGUAAGAGCUUGCUCUUACGGGUGGCGAGUGGCGGACGGGUGAGGAAUACAUCGGAAUCUACUUUUUCGUGGGGGAUAACGUAGGGAAACUUACGCUAAUACCGCAUACGACCUACGGGUGAAAGAAGGGGAUCUUCGGACUUUGCGCGAUUGAAUGAGCCGGUGUCGGAUUAGCUAGUUGGCGGGGUAAAGGCCCACCAAGGCGACGAUCCGUAGCUGGUCUGAGAGGAUGAUCAGCCACACUGGAACUGAGACACGGUCCAGACUCCUACGGGAGGCAGCAGUGGGGAAUAUUGGACAAUGGGCGCAAGCCUGAUCCAGCCAUACCGCGUGGGUGAAGAAGGCCUUCGGGUUGUAAAGCCCUUUUGUUGGGAAAGAAAAGCAGCAGGUUAAUACCCCGCUGUUCUGACGUUACCCAAAGAAUAAGCACCGGCUAACUUCGUG
This 492-nucleotide ribosomal RNA is filed under the name uncultured bacterium. RNAcentral's name for it is "partial 16S ribosomal RNA". It matches the Rfam family "Bacterial small subunit ribosomal RNA", at positions 29 to 507 of the family's 1533-position model. The record is from RNAcentral.